Molecule: ribosomal RNA, 589 nt
Filed under: Hansenula anomala
Lineage: Eukaryota; Fungi; Ascomycota; Saccharomycetes; Phaffomycetales; Wickerhamomycetaceae
Description: LSU rRNA
Rfam family: Eukaryotic large subunit ribosomal RNA
Source: RNAcentral
CCCCGGGGCAUUGCCUCAGUACGGCGAGUGAAGCGGCAAAAGCUCAAAUUUGAAAUCUAGCACCUUCGGUGUUCGAGUUGUAAUUUGAAGAUGGUAACCUUGGGUUUGGCUCUUGUCUAUGUUCCUUGGAACAGGACGUCAUAGAGGGUGAGAAUCCCGUCUGAUGAGAUGCCCAUUCCUAUGUAAGGUGCUAUCGAAGAGUCGAGUUGUUUGGGAAUGCAGCUCUAAGUGGGUGGUAAAUUCCAUCUAAAGCUAAAUAUUGGCGAGAGACCGAUAGCGAACAAGUACAGUGAUGGAAAGAUGAAAAGAACUUUGAAAAGAGAGUGAAAAAGUACGUGAAAUUGUUGAAAGGGAAGGGCAUUAGAUCAGACUUGGUGUUUUACGAUUAUCUUCUCUUCUUGAGUUGUGCACUCGUAUUUCACUGGGCCAGCAUCGAUUCGGAUGGCAAGAUAAUGGCAGUUGAAUGUGGCUUCACUUCGGUGGAGUGUUAUAGCUUCUGCUGAUAUUGCCUGUCUGGAUCGAGGGCUGCGUCUUUUGACUAGGAUGCUGGCGUAAUGAUCUAAUGCCGCCCGUCUUGAAACACGGACCA